This 494-nucleotide ribosomal RNA is filed under the name uncultured bacterium. Its description in RNAcentral is "bacterial SSU rRNA". It matches the Rfam family "Bacterial small subunit ribosomal RNA", at positions 10 to 507 of the family's 1533-position model. The record is from RNAcentral.
AGUUUGAUCCUGGCUCAGGAUGAACGCUAGCGGCAGGCUUAACACAUGCAAGUCGAGGGUAUGGUUUUCGGACCAAGAGACCGGCGCACGGGUGCGUAACGCGUAUGCAAUCUACCUUUUGCAGAGGGAUAGCCCAGAGAAAUUUGGAUUAAUACCUCAUAGUAUAGUACUUUGGCAUCAAGGAACUAUUAAAGUCACAACGGCAAAAGAUGAGCAUGCGUCCCAUUAGCUAGUUGGUAAGGUAACGGCUUACCAAGGCUACGAUGGGUAGGGGUCCUGAGAGGGAGAUCCCCCACACUGGUACUGAGACACGGACCAGACUCCUACGGGAGGCAGCAGUGAGGAAUAUUGGACAAUGGGCGCAAGCCUGAUCCAGCCAUGCCGCGUGCAGGAAUAAGGUCCUAUGGAUUGUAAACUGCUUUUAUACAGGAAGAAACACACCCUCGUGAGGGUACUUGACGGUACUGUAUGAAUAAGGACCGGCUAACUCCGUG